GGACUACUAGGGUUUCUAAUCCUGUUUGCUCCCCACGCUUUCGCGCCUCAGCGUCAGUAUCGGUCCAGAGAGCCGCCUUCGCCACUGGUGUUCUUCCCAAUAUCUACGAAUUUCACCUCUACACUGGGAAUUCCACUCUCCUCUCCCGAUCUCUAGCCUCACAGUCCCAAAUGCUAUUCCCAGGUUGAGCCCGGGGCUUUCACAUCUGACUUGAGAGGCCGCCUGCGCGCCCUUUACGCCCAGUAAUUCCGAACAACGCUUGCCCCCUUCGUAUUACCGCGGCUGCUGGCAC
This 292-nucleotide ribosomal RNA is filed under the name uncultured bacterium. Its description in RNAcentral is "partial 16S ribosomal RNA". The record is from RNAcentral.